GCCACUCUAGCUCAACUGGUUGAGCAACGGUUUUGUAAACCGUAGGUUGUCGGUUCGAGUCCGACGAGUGGCUCCA
Molecule: transfer RNA, 76 nt
Filed under: Candidatus Komeilibacteria bacterium CG_4_10_14_0_2_um_filter_37_10
Lineage: Bacteria; Candidatus Komeiliibacteriota
Description: tRNA-Thr
Rfam family: tRNA
About the family: Transfer RNA (tRNA) molecules are approximately 80 nucleotides in length. Their secondary structure includes four short double-helical elements and three loops (D, anti-codon, and T loops). Further hydrogen bonds mediate the characteristic L-shaped molecular structure. tRNAs have two regions of fundamental functional importance: the anti-codon, which is responsible for specific mRNA codon recognition, and the 3' end, to which the tRNAs corresponding amino acid is attached (by aminoacyl-tRNA synthetases). tRNAs cope with the degeneracy of the genetic code in two manners: having more than one tRNA (with a specific anti-codon) for a particular amino acid; and 'wobble' base-pairing, i.e. permitting non-standard base-pairing at the 3rd anti-codon position.
Source: RNAcentral